This 486-nucleotide ribosomal RNA is filed under the name uncultured organism. Its description in RNAcentral is "bacterial SSU rRNA". It matches the Rfam family "Bacterial small subunit ribosomal RNA", at positions 29 to 507 of the family's 1533-position model. The record is from RNAcentral.
AUUGAACGCUGGCGGAAUGCUUUACACAUGCAAGUCGAACGGCAGCACGGGGGCAACCCUGGUGGCGAGUGGCGAACGGGUGAGUAACACAUCGGAACGCGUCCUGUAAUGGGGGAUAACCUGGCGAAAGCCAGGCUAAUACCGCAUACGUCCUGAGGGAGAAAGCGGGGGAUUGGCAACGACCUCGCGUUAUAGGAGUGGCCGAUGUCGGAUUAGCUAGUCGGUGGGGUAAAGGCCUACCAAGGCGACGAUCCGUAGCUGGUCUGAGAGGACGACCAGCCACACUGGGACUGAGACACGGCCCAGACUCCUACGGGAGGCAGCAGUGGGGAAUUUUGGACAAUGGGGGCAACCCUGAUCCAGCCAUUCCGCGUGAGUGAAGAAGGCCUUCGGGUUGUAAAGCUCUUUCGGCCGGGAAGAAAUCGCAUCUCCUAAUACGGGGUGUGGAUGACGGUACCGGAAGAAGAAGCACCGGCUAACUACGUG